This is a small nucleolar RNA of Echinops telfairi (small Madagascar hedgehog), 72 nucleotides long. The record is from RefSeq and is a predicted model, not a curated record. Lineage: Eukaryota; Metazoa; Chordata; Mammalia; Afrosoricida; Tenrecidae.
UGGAGGUGAUGAGCUACUAUCAGCCUGACCUUGUGAAGUGGGGGCCAGAAACUGAUUUAAUGAGCCUGAUCC